GACGAACGCUGGCGGCGUGCCUAAUACAUGCAAGUCGAGCGAGCUUGCCUAGAUGAUUUUAGUGCUUGCACUAAAUGAAACUAGAUACAAGCGAGCGGCGGACGGGUGAGUAACACGUGGGUAACCUGCCCAAGAGACUGGGAUAACACCUGGAAACAGAUGCUAAUACCGGAUAUUAUGUGAGUUUCGCAUGAAAUUCAUAUGAAAGCUAUAUGAACGCUGCAGGAGAGCUUUGCGUCCUAUUAGCUAGUUGGUGAGGUAACGGCUCACCAAGGCGAUGAUAGGUAGCCGGCCUGAGAGGGUGAACGGCCACAAGGGGACUGAGACACGGCCCUU
Molecule: ribosomal RNA, 336 nt
Filed under: uncultured bacterium
Lineage: Bacteria
Description: bacterial SSU rRNA
Rfam family: Bacterial small subunit ribosomal RNA
Source: RNAcentral